GGAGCAGCCGCCGGGUUGAACGGGUAUCAUUGAUGUUGGUAAAUUAAAGAACAAACUUUUGUUCUGC
RNAcentral lists this transfer RNA (67 nucleotides) under Phyllidiella pustulosa. Its description in RNAcentral is "tRNA-Ile". The record is from RNAcentral. Lineage: Eukaryota; Metazoa; Mollusca; Gastropoda; Nudibranchia; Phyllidiidae.